Molecule: ribosomal RNA, 782 nt
Filed under: uncultured Verrucomicrobiota bacterium
Lineage: Bacteria; Pseudomonadati; Verrucomicrobiota
Description: bacterial SSU rRNA
Rfam family: Bacterial small subunit ribosomal RNA
Source: RNAcentral
AUUUCAGGGUAGCAAUAUUCUGAGGUCGGAGCGGCGCAAGGGUGCGUAACACGUGGGUAAUCUGCCAUGAAGUUCGGGAUAACUUGCUGAAAGGCGAGCUAAUACCGGAUGUGACAACCGAAAGGCAUCUUUUGGUUGUUAAAGUUGGGGACCGUAAGGCCUGACGCUUCUUGAUGAACCCGCGGCCUAUCAGCUAGUUGGUGAGGUAACGGCCCACCAAGGCUAAGACGGGUAGCUGGUCUGAGAGGACGACCAGCCACACUGGAACUGAGACACGGUCCAGACACCUACGGGUGGCAGCAGUCGAGAAUUUUUCACAAUGGGCGCAAGCCUGAUGGAGCGACGCCGCGUGGGGGAUGAAUGGCUUCGGCCCGUAAACCCCUGUCAUUCGCGAUCAAACGUUAUUAUUUAAAAGAUGAUGACCUGAUAGUAGCGGAAGAGGAAGGGACGGCUAACUCUGUGCCAGCAGCCGCGGUAAUACAGAGGUCCCAAGCGUUGUUCGGAUUCACUGGGCGUAAAGGGUGCGUAGGUGGUGAGGUAAGUCGGAUGUGAAAGCUCGGAGCUCAACUCCGAAAUGGCAUUGGAAACUACCUUGCUCGAGGGUUGGAGGGGGGACUGGAAUACUUGGUGUAGCAGUGAAAUGCGUAGAUAUCAAGUGGAACACCAGUGGCGAAGGCGAGUCCCUGGACAACUCCUGACACUGAGGCACGAAAGCUAGGGGAGCAAACAGGAUUANAUACCCUGGUAGUCCUAGCCNUAAACGGUGCACGUUUGCUGUAAAA